UGCGGAGGGAUCAUUACACAAUACAAUAUGAAGGCUGUCCGCAGCUGGAGUAUUUUAUUACCCUUGUCUUUUGCGCACUUGUUGUUUCCUGGGCGGGUUCGCUCGCCACCAGGACCACCAAAUAAACCUUUUUUAUGCAGUUGCAAUCAGCGUCAGUACAAACAAUGUAAAUCAUUUACAACUUUCAACAACGGAUCUCUUGGUUCUGGCAUCGAUGAAGAACGCAGCGAAAUGCGAUACGUAGUGUGAAUUGCAGAAUUCAGUGAAUCAUCGAAUCUUUGAACGCACAUUGCGCCCUUUGGUAUUCCAAAGGGCAUGCCUGUUCGAGCGUCAUUUGUACCCUCAAGCUUUGCUUGGUGUUGGGCGUUUUUGUCUUUGGUCGCCCAAAGACUCGCCUUAAAGUGAUUGGCAGCCGGCCUUUCUGGUUUCGCAGCGCAGCACAUUUUUGCGCUUGCCAUCAGCAAAACGGCAAUCCAUCAAGCCUCCUUCUCACGUUUGACCUCGGAUCAGGUAGGGAUACCCGCUGAACUUAAGCAUAUC
This 540-nucleotide ribosomal RNA is filed under the name Curvularia geniculata. Its description in RNAcentral is "eukaryotic LSU rRNA". The stretch from base 180 to 333 matches the Rfam family "5.8S ribosomal RNA". The record is from RNAcentral. Lineage: Eukaryota; Fungi; Ascomycota; Dothideomycetes; Pleosporales; Pleosporaceae.